RNAcentral lists this ribosomal RNA (514 nucleotides) under uncultured bacterium. Its description in RNAcentral is "bacterial SSU rRNA". It matches the Rfam family "Bacterial small subunit ribosomal RNA", at positions 8 to 518 of the family's 1533-position model. The record is from RNAcentral.
AGAGUUUGAUCCUGGCUCAGGAUGAACGCUAGCGGCAGGCCUAAUACAUGCAAGUCGAACGGGAGGCGCCUUCGGGGUGCCGAGAGUGGCGGACGGGUGCGCAACGCGUAUGCAACCCACCCCGACGCGGCGGACAGCCGGUGGAAACGCCGGGCGAUCCGCCAUGCGGCCCAGAGGGGGCAUCCCCUGUGGGCCAAAGCCUUCGGGCGCGUCGGGACGGGCAUGCGUCCCAUUAGCUUGUAGGCGGGGCGACGGCCCACCUAGGCUACGAUGGGUAGGGGAUCUGAGAGGACGGUCCCCCACACUGGCACUGAGACACGGGCCAGACUCCUGCGGGAGGCAGCAGUAGGGGAUAUUGGUCAAUGGGCGGGAGCCUGAACCAGCCAUGCCCGCGUGAGGGAAUGGGGCCCUACGGGUCGUGAACCUCUUUUGACCGGGGACAACGGCGGCGUCGUGAACGCCGCGUGAGGGUACCGGUGGAAUAAGCGCCGGCUAACUCCGUGCCAGCAGCUGC